Molecule: transfer RNA, 800 nt
Filed under: Mesorhizobium sp. CIRADAc2
Lineage: Bacteria; Pseudomonadati; Pseudomonadota; Alphaproteobacteria; Hyphomicrobiales; Phyllobacteriaceae
Description: 16S-23S intergenic spacer
Rfam family: tRNA (bases 362-435)
Source: RNAcentral
UUGCGGCUGGAUCCCCUCCUUUCUAAGGAAGAACCCUAAUGGGGUCCCCGCCAGCGACGCGGCUUUUAGCCGAGGAGCUUGAGGGCGGGGCAAAGACCCCUUUCGGUUCUCUUGGAACAAGACGGAAGAGAGUCACUCUUACCGUCGCGCAUACCUAAAGCGGGUCUGCCGCCUUCGUUUCUCUUUCUUCAGCGAAUGACUUUGGAUCAGCGCUCGCGCGCCGUACCGCAGCCCUUUGGGCUGCUGGCGCUCCGCGAGGGCGCGGCACGAGCCGCGACGGCCACCUGCUAUUCAGAUCUGGCGGCCUUGCGAGGCUUCACCUCGAGGUCAACAGCUUGUUACGGGCAGAGCGCGGUCUUUAGGGCUUGUAGCUCAGUUGGUUAGAGCGCGCGCUUGAUAAGCGUGAGGUCGGAGGUUCAAGUCCUCCCAGGCCCACCACUUCCUUUCGACACGAAGGUUAUCAGGGGCCGUAGCUCAGCUGGGAGAGCGCCUGCUUUGCAAGCAGGAUGUCGUCGGUUCGAUCCCGUCCGGCUCCACCAACCAUCUUCUGUGAAGGUGGGACGUGUAGAGUAGAGAUGAUCGCCGGUGGUCAGUCAUUCGAAAAGAGUUUGCGUUAAGCCUCGUGCUUGGCGCCUGUUCUGUUUGACAUCGUAAAGAGAAGAUUUGUUCGAACUUCAUGAUCCGAAAGGGCCAUGAUUUGUCGCAAGGGACGCUCAAUCCCUUGCCUAUGAUGGGUCUGCCUAACCGCGCCCUCGAACGGAUCUCGAGAAGCUGGUCUUUUUGUGCCAAUUCCAUUGAAA